Molecule: non-coding RNA, 26 nt
Filed under: Cricetulus griseus (Chinese hamster)
Lineage: Eukaryota; Metazoa; Chordata; Mammalia; Rodentia; Cricetidae
Source: RNAcentral
ACCGACUGUUCUUCCAGAAGACCUGC